CCUACGGGAGGCAGCAGUGAGGAAUAUUGGUCAAUGGACGAGAGUCUGAACCAGCCAAGCCGCGUGAAGGAUGACUGCCCUAUGGGUUGUAAACUUCUUUUAUACGGGAGUAAACCGCGGUACGUGUGCCUUUUUGCAUGUACUUUAUGAAUAAGGAUCGGCUAACUCCGUGCCAGCAGCCGCGGUAAUACGGAGGAUCCGAGCGUUAUCCGGAUUUAUUGGGUUUAAAGGGUGCGUAGGUGGUUUGUUAAGUUAGUUGUGAAAUUUUGGGGCUCAACCCCGGAACUGCGUAUAAUACUGUUGGACGAGAGAGUAGUUGAGGUAAGCGGAAUGUAUGGUGUAGCGGUGAAAUGCUUAGAGAUCAGACAGAACACCGAUUGCGAAGGCAGCUUACCAAACUAUAACUGACGUUGAGGCACGAAAGCGUGGGUAGCAAACAGGAUUAGAUACCCCAGUAGUC
This 460-nucleotide ribosomal RNA is filed under the name uncultured bacterium. RNAcentral describes it as "partial 16S ribosomal RNA". It matches the Rfam family "Bacterial small subunit ribosomal RNA", at positions 338 to 795 of the family's 1533-position model. The record is from RNAcentral.